Molecule: ribosomal RNA, 413 nt
Filed under: uncultured bacterium
Lineage: Bacteria
Description: bacterial SSU rRNA
Rfam family: Bacterial small subunit ribosomal RNA
Source: RNAcentral
CAUGGCUCAGAGUGAACGCUGGCGGCGUGCCUAACACAUGCAAGUCGAACGAUGAUGGAGAGCUUGCUCUCCUGAUUAGUGGCGCACGGGUGAGUAAUGCAUAGAUAAUGUGCCCCUUAGUUCGGGAUAGCCACUGGAAACGGUGAUUAAUACCGGAUACUCCUUCUUACUAUAAGGUAAGUCGGGAAAGUUUUUCGCUAAGGGAUCAGUCUAUGUUCCAUCAGGUAGUUGGUGAGGUAAUGGCUCACCAAGCCUAUGGCGGAUAUCUGGUUUGAGAGGAUGAUCAGACACACUGGAACUGAGACACGGUCCAGACUCCUACGGGAGGCAGCAGUGAGGAAUAUUGCACAAUGGAGGAAACUCUGAUGCAGCAACGCCGCGUGGAGGAUGACGCAUUUCGGAGUGUAAACUCC